UGUGGAUACUCAAAAGCAUGUCAUGAAAAAUAAAAAAUCUUUCUAAAAGAAAUUUUUUUCCUCCUAUGUUCUACCUACGAGAUCCCCUUUAUUUUUUUUUCUUCAAUUUUUGAUAAAUUUUGCUUGAGAGAAAAGAAGAAAAAAAAUCUCUACAUAGCAAAGGUUUUUAUCUUUUUAGAUUUUUUUUCUUUUUUCCUUCUCACGUAUUAACUACAUGGAGAUAUCU
Molecule: long non-coding RNA, 226 nt
Filed under: Elaeis guineensis (African oil palm)
Lineage: Eukaryota; Viridiplantae; Streptophyta; Magnoliopsida; Arecales; Arecaceae
Description: long non-coding RNA (EGUI_LNC018145)
Source: RNAcentral